Molecule: ribosomal RNA, 233 nt
Filed under: uncultured Streptomyces sp.
Lineage: Bacteria; Bacillati; Actinomycetota; Actinomycetes; Kitasatosporales; Streptomycetaceae
Description: partial 16S ribosomal RNA
Rfam family: Bacterial small subunit ribosomal RNA (bases 1-180)
Source: RNAcentral
GGUGGUGCAUGGCUGUCGUCAGCUCGUGUCGUGAGAUGUUGGGUUAAGUCCCGCAACGAGCGCAACCCUUGUUCUGUGUUGCCAGCAUGCCCUUCGGGGUGAUGGGGACUCACAGGAGACUGCCGGGGUCAACUCGGAGUAAGGUGUGCACGACGUCAACCCCUCCCGCCUCCUAUGACUCCCUCUCACACGUAAUUAAUUUGAUAACAUAGAAUAGGGUUGUGUUCGGGGCG